RNAcentral lists this ribosomal RNA (924 nucleotides) under uncultured Bacteroidota bacterium. RNAcentral's name for it is "bacterial SSU rRNA". It matches the Rfam family "Bacterial small subunit ribosomal RNA", at positions 1 to 916 of the family's 1533-position model. The record is from RNAcentral. Lineage: Bacteria; Pseudomonadati; Bacteroidota.
GGAUCCAGACUUUGAUUCUGGCUCAGGAUGAACGCUAGCUACAGGCUCAACACAUGCAAGUCGAGGGGAAACGACAUCGAAAGCUUGCUUUUGAUGGGCGUCGACCGGCGCACGGGUGAGUAACGCGUAUCCAACCUGCCCACCACUUGGGGAUAACCUUGCGAAAGUAAGACUAAUACCCAAUGAUAUCUCUAGAAGACAUCUGAAAGAGAUUAAAGAUUUAUCGGUGAUGGAUGGGGAUGCGUCUGAUUAGCUUGUUGGCGGGGUAACGGCCCACCAAGGCAACGAUCAGUAGGGGUUCUGAGAGGAAGGUCCCCCACAUUGGAACUGAGACACGGUCCAAACUCCUACGGGAGGCAGCAGUGAGGAAUAUUGGUCAAUGGACGAGAGUCUGAACCAGCCAAGUAGCGUGCAAGAUGACGGCCCUAUGGGUUGUAAACUGCUUUUAUAAGGGAAUAAAGUGAGUCUCGUGAGACUUUUUGCAUGUACCUUAUGAAUAAGGACCGGCUAAUUCCGUGCCAGCAGCCGCGGUAAUACGGAAGGUCCGGGCGUUAUCCGGAUUUAUUGGGUUUAAAGGGAGCGUAGGCCGGAGAUUAAGCGUGUUGUGAAAUGUAGACGCUCAACGUCUGCACUGCAGCGCGAACUGGUUUCCUUGAGUACGCACAAGGUGGGCGGAAUUCGUGGUGUAGCGGUGAAAUGCUUAGAUAUCACGAAGAACUCCGAUUGCGAAGGCAGCUCACUGGAGCGCAACUGACGCUGAAGCUCGAAAGUGCGGGUAUCGAACAGGAUUAGAUACACUGGUAGUCCGCACGGUAAACGAUGGAUGCCCGCUGUUGGUCUGAAUAGGUCAGCGGCCAAGCGAAAGCAUUAAGCAUCCCACCUGGGGAGUACGCCGGCAACGGUGCAACUCAAAUGAAUUGACGG